GACGAACCGUGCGAACGUUGUUCGGAAUCACUGGGCUUAAAGGGCGCGUAGGCGGCUUGCCAAGUCCGGGGUGAAAUCCUCCAGCUCAACUGGAGAAGUGCCUUGGAUACUGGCGAGCUCGAGUGAGGUAGGGGCAGAUGGAACUUCCGGUGGAGCGGUGAAAUGCGUUGAUAUCGGAAGGAACGCCGGUGGCGAAAGCGAUCUGCUGGACCUCUUCUGACGCUGAGGCGCGAAAGCCAGGGGAGCGAACGGG
This 253-nucleotide ribosomal RNA is filed under the name uncultured bacterium. RNAcentral describes it as "partial 16S ribosomal RNA". It matches the Rfam family "Bacterial small subunit ribosomal RNA", at positions 524 to 776 of the family's 1533-position model. The record is from RNAcentral.